Non-coding RNA from Callithrix jacchus (white-tufted-ear marmoset), 1196 nucleotides. NCBI's taxonomy places the organism in Eukaryota, Metazoa, Chordata, Mammalia, Primates, Cebidae. The record is from RefSeq and is a predicted model, not a curated record.
AGGCCGGACCCACACAGCACAAUUCUCUCCUUUCUUUCUAUUAUUAGCUCUACUUUUCCAAAUCCAGUGGAGAGACUUCCGCAAUGGGAUGUGUCAGGAGAGACCAGAACAUGGUCCUUCCAGGGAGAGGCAGAGCAGCCAGGGUUUGUUGUUAGGGACUGGUAUUUCCAUCCCAAGCUCUAAGUCCAUCUGUGGGGGAAGCACAGGAGGCAUCAAGGCAAAACCAAACCCCUGGACUCAGUGAAGAGGACCAGUCAGGACAUGGGAAAGGUCUCUGUGGGAGGGUACUCAUAAGCCCCUUCCUGGGGCAGGUGGCUGGGGGCCCAGCCUCAUCUGUGUGGGGUAAUCUGGGGGCUGUGCUGAGCCUCUGAGGGCCUCCCACCUGGGCCUGGAGUCUCCUCUGAUCUCCUGAGAAGCAGAAUCCUACCUGACAGCUCAGGUGUGCCCGAGAGCCUGAGCCUGAUUGUUCGUCCAGUAGAGGAGCACCUCUACCAUUACUUAUAUUAUUUUAUAUAUAUGUGUAUAUAUAUAUAUAUAUAAUUUCCUCAUGUAGUAAAUCUCUCUUUGUGGUGGUUUUAUUGUUUGUUUGUUUUUUGAGAUUCAGUCUCACUCUUGUCGCCCUGGCUGGAGUGCAAUGGCGAUCUCGGCUCACUGCAGCCUCUGCUUCCCAGGUUCAAGCAGUUCUCCUGCCUCAGCCUCCGGAGUAGCUGAGAUCACAGGCACGUUUGUUAUUUUUAGUAGAGACAGGGAUUCACUAUGCUGGUGAGGCUGGUCUCAAACUUCUGAUCUCAGGUGAUCCACCCUUCUUGGCUUCCCCAAACGCUCGGAUUACAGGGUCAUCUUCUGUUCCAGGAUCAUCUUCUGUCCCAGUGUCAACUUAUCUCCCAGUGUCAAGGUCAGCGGAGGGGAAGGCCCAAAGGCAGGAAGAAAAACUACAGUCUGAAAGCUUCUAGAGACAGCCUGACAGGCCUGGAGGAGACUCUGGACUUGCUUUCACAACUGCAGCGAGAGAAGCAUAUCAGAGAUCAACAGUCCUUGAAAAGUGUCCAGCGCAACAAUGAGCAACGGGGCCAGGAUAGCCCCAACUCUUGCUCCCCCAGAAGGCUGUCUCCCCAGUCAGCGCCCCUCAGGGCAGACUGAAGACACAACAUUUAAUGUUCCAAAAUAAAUAUCUCCUUUUUUUUCCCCCCAUAAAA